GCAGUCGAGCGGUAACAUUUCUAGCUUGCUAGAAGAUGACGAGCGGCGGACGGGUGAGUAAUGCUUGGGAAUAUGCCUUAGGGUGGGGGACAACAGUUGGAAACGACUGCUAAUACCGCAUAACGUCUACGGACCAAAGGGGGCUUCGGCUCUCGCCCUUAGAUUAGCCCAAGUGGGAUUAGCUAGUUGGUGAGGUAAUGGCUCACCAAGGCGACGAUCCCUAGCUGGUUUGAGAGGAUGAUCAGCCACACUGGAACUGAGACACGGUCCAGACUCCUACGGGAGGCAGCAGUGGGGAAUAUUGCACAAUGGGCGCAAGCCUGAUGCAGCCAUGCCGCGUGUGUGAAGAAGGCCUUAGGGUUGUAAAGCACUUUCAGUAAGGAGGAAAGGUUAGUAGUUAAUACCUGCUAGCUGUGACGUUACUUACAGAAGAAGCACCGGCUAACUCCGUGCCAGCAGCCGCGGUAAUACGGAGGGUGCGAGCGUUAAUCGGAAUUACUGGGCGUAAAGCGUACGCAGGCGGUUUGUUAAGCGAGAUGUGAAAGCCCCGGGCUCAACCUGGGAACUGCAUUUCGAACUGGCAAACUAGAGUAUGAUAGAGGGUGGUAGAAUUUCAGGUGUAGCGGUGAAAUGCGUAGAGAUCUGAAGGAAUACCGAUGGCGAAGGCAGCCACCUGGGUCAAUACUGACGCUCAUGUACGAAAGCGUGGGGAGCAAACGGGAUUAGAUACCCUGGUA
RNAcentral lists this ribosomal RNA (737 nucleotides) under uncultured bacterium. RNAcentral's name for it is "bacterial SSU rRNA". It matches the Rfam family "Bacterial small subunit ribosomal RNA", at positions 57 to 792 of the family's 1533-position model. The record is from RNAcentral.